ACAGAGGGUGCUAGCGUUGUUCGGAAUUAUUGGGCGUAAAGGGCGCGUAGGCGGUGCGGUAAGUCUUUUGUGAAAUCUCCGGGCUCAACUCGGAGUCUGCAAGAGAAACUGCCGUGCUGGAGUAUGGGAGAGGUGAGUGGAAUUCCCGGUGUAGCGGUGGAAUGCGUAGAGAUCGGGAAGAAUACCCGUGGCGAAGGCGGCCAGCUGGGCCAGGUCCGACACUGAGGCGCGAAAGCGUGGGGAGCAAACAGGA
RNAcentral lists this ribosomal RNA (253 nucleotides) under uncultured prokaryote. RNAcentral's name for it is "partial 16S ribosomal RNA". It matches the Rfam family "Bacterial small subunit ribosomal RNA", at positions 525 to 777 of the family's 1533-position model. The record is from RNAcentral.